AAGAAAAACAAAAUCUGGUUUCCAUGUCCAACGUUGACUAUCUGUCUUAUAUAAAAAAUUUUAUAAUUAAUAUUUUCAUUAUUGUUAGAUGAUAAAACAUGAUUAAUAUUUUAUGCGUGACUUGUAUUUUUAAUUUUUUUAAUAAUUUUUUUAACAAUUUUUUCAAAUAAGACGGACGGUUAAACGUUGAACACGGAAUUCUAAGGUU
This 208-nucleotide microRNA precursor is filed under the name Oryza glumipatula. RNAcentral's name for it is "MIR812 microRNA precursor family". It matches the Rfam family "MIR812 microRNA precursor family". Lineage: Eukaryota; Viridiplantae; Streptophyta; Magnoliopsida; Poales; Poaceae. The record is from Rfam by way of RNAcentral.